GACGUAGGGCGCGAGCGUUGUCCGGAUUUAUUGGGCGUAAAGAGCUCGUAGGCGGCUCAUUGCGUCAACCGUGAAAUCCUGCUGCUCAACGGCAGGUCUGCGGUUGAUACGGGUGGGCUGGAGUUCGGUAGGGGAGACUGGAAUUCCUGGUGUAGCGGUGAAAUGCGCAGAUAUCAGGAGGAACACCGGUGGCGAAGGCGGGUCUCUGGGCCGAUACUGACGCUGAGGAGCGAAAGCGUGGGGAGCGAACAGGAUUAGAUACCCUGGUAGUCCACGCUGUAAACGUUGGGCGCUAGGUGUGGGGGGCCUCUCCGGUUUCCUGCGCCGUAGCUAACGCAUUAAGCGCCCCGCCUGGGGAGUACGGCCGCAAGGCUAAA
RNAcentral lists this ribosomal RNA (377 nucleotides) under uncultured bacterium. RNAcentral's name for it is "bacterial SSU rRNA". It matches the Rfam family "Bacterial small subunit ribosomal RNA", at positions 524 to 898 of the family's 1533-position model. The record is from RNAcentral.